GACUAACGCUGGCGGCGUGCCUAACACAUGCAAGUCGAACGAGUUGUUUAUAGUAGCAAUAUUGUGAACAGCAAGUGGCGAACGGGUGAGUAACACGUAGAUAAUCUGCCUUUCAGACGGGGACAACUCAGGGAAACUUGUGCUAAUACCCGAUGAGACUACGGGAGGGGACUUUCGUAGCCAAAGGUGGGGGCAACCUCACGCUGAAAGAUGAGUCUGCGUCCUAUCAGCUAGUUGGUGGGGUAAAAGCCUACCAAGGCGAAGACGGGUAGCCGGCCUGAGAGGGUGAACGGCCACACUGGGACUGAGACACGGCCCAGACUCCUACGGGAGGCAGCAGUGAGGAAUUUUCCGCAAUGGGCGCAAGCCUGACGGAGCGACGCCGCGUGAGGGAUGACGGCCUCGGUUGUAACCUCUUUAUUAGGAAAAGGACGAAUACGUGCUAAUACACGGUUGUUGUAUGUUACCUGUUGAAUAAGCCCGGCUAACUACGUGCCAGCAGCCGCGUAAACGUAGGUG
This 519-nucleotide ribosomal RNA is filed under the name uncultured bacterium. RNAcentral describes it as "bacterial SSU rRNA". It matches the Rfam family "Bacterial small subunit ribosomal RNA", at positions 28 to 533 of the family's 1533-position model. The record is from RNAcentral.